CUGCUGUCGAGCGGAAAGGCCCCUUCGGGGGUACUCGAGCGGCGAACGGGUGAGUAACACGUGAGCAACCUGCCCCUGACUUCGGGAUAAGCCCGGGAAACUGGGUCUAAUACCGGAUAUGACCAUUGCCCGCAUGGGUUGGUGGUGGAAAGUUUUUUCGGUUGGGGAUGGGCUCGCGGCCUAUCAGCUUGUUGGUGGGGUGAUGGCCUACCAAGGCGACGACGGGUAACCGGCCUGAGAGGGCGACCGGUCACACUGGGACUGAAACACGGCCCAGACUCCUACGGGAGGCAGCAGUGGGGAAUAUUGCGCAAUGGGCGGAAGCCUGACGCAACGACGCCGCGUGGGGGAUGACGGCCUUCGGGUUGUAAACCUCUUUCAGCAUCGACGAAACCUUCGGGUGACGGUAGGUGCAGAAGAAACGCCGGCUAACUACGUGCCAGCAGCGAGG
RNAcentral lists this ribosomal RNA (451 nucleotides) under Actinomadura livida. RNAcentral describes it as "bacterial SSU rRNA". It matches the Rfam family "Bacterial small subunit ribosomal RNA", at positions 55 to 520 of the family's 1533-position model. Lineage: Bacteria; Bacillati; Actinomycetota; Actinomycetes; Streptosporangiales; Thermomonosporaceae. The record is from RNAcentral.